CAGUCGCCACGGUAAUACGUAGGGUGCGAGCGUUAAUCGGAAUUACUGUGCGUAAAGCGUGCGCAGGCGGUUGUGUAAGACAGGCGUGAAAUCCCCGGGCUCAACCUGGGAAUGGCGCUUGUGACUGCUAAGCUAGAGUGCGGCAGAGGGGGAUGGAAUUCCGCGUGUAGCAGUGAAAUGCGUAGAUAUGCGGAGGAACACCGAUGGCGAAGGCAAUCCCCUGGGCCUGCACUGACGCUCAUGCACGAAAGCGUGGGGAGCAAACAGGAUUAGAUACCCCCGUAGUCCCUGUCUCUUAUAC
Molecule: ribosomal RNA, 301 nt
Filed under: uncultured bacterium
Lineage: Bacteria
Description: partial 16S ribosomal RNA
Rfam family: Bacterial small subunit ribosomal RNA
Source: RNAcentral